AUGCCUUGGAAGCAUACAAACUAAAAUUGGAACCACAUAGAGAAGAUUAACAUGGCCCCUGCACAACGAUGACGUGCAAAUUCAUGAAGCAAUUCACAUUUUU
This is a small nuclear RNA of Saimiri boliviensis boliviensis (Bolivian squirrel monkey), 103 nucleotides long. The record is from RefSeq and is a predicted model, not a curated record. Lineage: Eukaryota; Metazoa; Chordata; Mammalia; Primates; Cebidae.